Molecule: ribosomal RNA, 253 nt
Filed under: uncultured bacterium
Lineage: Bacteria
Description: partial 16S ribosomal RNA
Rfam family: Bacterial small subunit ribosomal RNA
Source: RNAcentral
UACGUAGGUGGCGAGCGUUGUCCGGAAUUACUGGGUGUAAAGGGCGUGUAGGCGGGAAUGCAAGUCGGAUGUGAAAUUCCGUGGCUCAACUCCGGGGCUGCAUCUGAAACUGCAUUUCUUGAGUGCUGGAGAGGUAAGCGGAAUUGCCAGUGUAGCGGAGAAAUGCGUAGAUAUUGGGAGGAACACCAGUGGCGAAGGCGGCUUUCUGGACAGUAACUGACGCUGAGGCGCGAAAGCGUGGGGAGCAAACAGG